Non-coding RNA from Misgurnus anguillicaudatus (oriental weatherfish), 1374 nucleotides. Lineage: Eukaryota; Metazoa; Chordata; Actinopteri; Cypriniformes; Cobitidae. The record is from RefSeq and is a predicted model, not a curated record.
UGGAUUAUGGUCUCAUUCGGUCUAAAUGAGGGACAUGUACUGAGUAUUUUUCUUUUUUUUUGAUGAGCCAUCACACAGUGGAUUUAUAAAAAUGAGACUACAGAACAUCAGACGGAAGCUUCAAUGGAGUUGACGUGAGAGGACAUCAUCAAUAAAGAAUGCCAUUGACCAAACCUUCAGUCAUCAAAAGAGAUGGAUACAGGUGGACAUUGAGUUUUCCAGACUUACCGAUAGGAAAGAAGACAUGUUUAUCAGGAAAUGGGAGGUGACAAUUAUUGAGAAAUUCGGGGAAAUAGCAUCUUUAGAGAAGAAAAUGGACAUCAGACAUUCAUUGAGGAAAGCUGUCAGUCAACAUAAUGAUGAGCUGUGUUAUACUCGUUCAUCUUCUGCUGUGUGAAUUCUGCUGUCUCAGACCUGUGGGACUUGGUGCCGGCUGGUACCAGCGUGAGCUCUUUGCUUACUUAAUGAUGAAAAGGUGUCUAAAAUCAGCUCAGCCACAGUUGGUUUCCAGCGGUUCUUCAGGACAUAGAGGCCACUACAUAAUUGUCGCAAUGAACGAUUCUCUUGCCUUUCCACUUGAUGUUGACAAGCUGACCUGUGCGGUAGACAGACUUUUCAAAUUAACUAGCUAAGUAACCUUAAGUAUCCCUGCCAACUGUCUUCAGUUUAUUUUUUGUAUGAAUAUGAUCUACCCUUGUCCCAGUCCUCUUGCAAACGAUCCAAGGCAAUGGAGUUUCAAGAUGGACCGCAAAAUUGCAGUCUGUUUUAAACAAUGCAUGCACUAUGUGGCGGUUUCCCGGACAGGGAUUAGAUUAGUCCUAGACUAAAACAUUUUUAAGAGCUGUCCAAACUGAAAACAACUUGCACUGACAUAUCUUAAAAUACAUCAGUGUCCUUUGUUUUGCCUCAAAAUGCACACAGGUAAUGUUUUUAGUAAGGCAUGUUUGUUAAAACCAGUUAUAUUUCCUAAUUAAUCUAAGAUCUAGUCCUGGAUUAAGAUAAUCCCUGUCCGGGAACCCACCCCUAAAUAUUUGUGAUGGAAAUUUCUUUGAAUACACUUGUCAAGUUCAUUUGAAGUAUUUUUCUAAAUGUAAGAUAACAUGUUAAUGUUUCAGGACAAGUUAAGAAUUUUUGAUAACUUGCAUGUUGAAAAUGAUUUCAGACAUUGUUCUAUUCAACAUGUUUAACACAUGCUUUUAAAUUCAAAGAAUUAUUUUAUAAAUAGUGUUUUAAAAUGUAUGAAUGUAAUGUAUGUUUGAAGUGAUUAUACUUGCACUUACAUUUAUUUAAAUUAGCAUACAUCUAGCAACAUACAGUACUAGCAUAUUUUCAUGCUAGCAUUAAUUGUCAAAUAUUUGUUAUUUUACAAAUAAA